This 414-nucleotide ribosomal RNA is filed under the name uncultured microorganism. Its description in RNAcentral is "bacterial SSU rRNA". It matches the Rfam family "Archaeal small subunit ribosomal RNA", at positions 459 to 872 of the family's 1478-position model. The record is from RNAcentral.
CAGCCGCCGCGGUAAUACCGGCGGCCCGAGUGGCGGUCACUAUUAUUGGGCUUAAAGCGUCCGUAGCCGGGUUGGGAAGUCCUCCGGGAAAUCUGGCCGCUUAACGGUCAGAAUGCCGGAGGAUACUCCCAGCCUAGGGAGCGGGAGAGGCCGAGGGUAUUCCCGGGGUAGGGGUGAAAUCCUAUAAUCCCGGGAGGACCACCUGUGGGGAAGGCGCUCGGCUGGAACGCGUCCGACGGUGAGGGACGAAGGCCAGGGGAGCAAACCGGAUUAGAUACCCGGGUAGUCCUGGCUGUAAACGAUGCGGACGUUGUGUCGGACAAGCUAUGAGCUUGUCCGGUGCCGGAGGGAAACCGUUAAGUCCGCCGCCUGGGGAGUACGGCCGCAAGGCUGAAACUUAAAGGAAUUGGCGGG